AUCCAGCUGGUGAGUCCCAAAUAGGACGAUACGUGCGUCCUGGAU
Schistosoma mansoni is the source of this 45-nucleotide non-coding RNA. The record is from Rfam. Lineage: Eukaryota; Metazoa; Platyhelminthes; Trematoda; Strigeidida; Schistosomatidae.